AGGGCCCGACGUGGCCAGGCUUCCCGACAGUCCAUAGCCGGCCGCAGGAACUCGAUAGUAUGAUCCAGGCCUCAGAAACGAACGUUGGCGGCGUUGAUUAGGCCAUGCAAGUCGAAGGGAAUCCCAGCAAUGGGGAACCGGCGUAAGGGGCAGUAAUGCAUGGGGUACCUACCUUUGGGUUCGGGAUAGCCAUCAGAGAUGGUGGGUAAUACCGGAUGACGUCUAGCGACCAAAGAUUUAUCGCCCGGAGAGGGGCCCAUGUGAUAUUAGGUAGUUGGUGAGGUAACGGCUCACCAAGCCGAAGAUGUCCAGCGGGUGUGAGAGCACGACCCGCGCCACUCGCACUGAGACACUGGCGAGACACCUACGGGUGGCUGCAGUCGAGGAUCUUCGUCAAUGGGGGCAACCCUGAACGAGCGACGCCGCGUGUGCGAUGAAGGCCUUCGGGUUGUAAAGCACUGUCGAGGGGGAGAAAAGGAAACUUGAUCUAUCCCUGGAGGAAGCACGGGCUAAGUUCGUGCCAGCAGCCGCGGUAAGACGAACCGUGCGAACGUUGUUCGGAAUCACUGGGCUUAAAGGGCGCGUAGGCGGGCUGUCAAGUCUGGGGUGAAAUCCCGCGGCUCAACCGUGGAACUGCCUCAGAUACUGACGGCCUCGAGGAAGGUAGGGGCGAGCGGAACUGUGAGUGGAGCGGUGAAAUGCGUUGAUAUUCACAGGAACUCCGGUGGCGAAGGCGGCUCGCUGGACCUUUUCUGACGCUGAGGCGCGAAAGCUAGGGGAGCAAACGGGAUUAGAUACCCCGGUAGUCCUAGCCCUAAACGAUGGGUACUAGAUAGUAGGCUAGAUCUGGGCUUACUGUCGAAGCUAAAGUGCUAAGACCCGCCUGGGA
Molecule: ribosomal RNA, 889 nt
Filed under: uncultured bacterium
Lineage: Bacteria
Description: bacterial SSU rRNA
Rfam family: Bacterial small subunit ribosomal RNA
Source: RNAcentral